This is an RNA transcript of Cryptomeria japonica (Japanese cedar), 1486 nucleotides long. RefSeq lists it as uncharacterized. The record is from RefSeq and is a predicted model, not a curated record. The transcript is spliced from 6 exons. Lineage: Eukaryota; Viridiplantae; Streptophyta; Pinopsida; Cupressales; Cupressaceae.
UUUAAUUCUCAAAAUAUCAGGUUUCGACCGCAUGACCUGGUUUACCCAUAACGGACCUCCAUUAGACAAAGACUCUGUAUUGUUCUAUGUUGGCGCUGAGACAACGCUGAAAUAUUAUAGAAGUAAUUCCCAUUGUAUCGCCUUGAAUUGAAGCAAUUUUAUGCAGUGAAACCCAGUGAGAUCGCUGAGGAUUUGCAAAUAAUGAAGAAUCUGUACGUGGAGGCAGUGCUGCCGGUGGAUUUGAAUAAGAAUACAUCGUGGUUUCAGUACCCCGGGGUGUGGACGACAUAUAUUCUCAUCCUUUUCUUCUCAUGGCUUAUCGUGCUCUCGUUCUUCUCCUGUACCGCCGGAAUGGCCUGGACAAUCGUACACCUCGUUCAUUCUGUGGUGACCUAUCACUUUUUCCAUUGGAAGAAGGGUACUCCUUUUUCGGAAGAUCAGGGAAUAUACAACAAGUUAACAUGGUGGGAACAGAUGGAUAAUGGCAAGCAGCUGACUCGUAACAGGAAAUUUCUUACAGCAGUUCCUCUAGUAUUAUACUUAAUUGCAUCUCACACAACUGAUUACAAAAAUCCCUGGCUUUUCUUGAACACGGUGGCUGUGUUUGUCCUGGUUAUUGCAAAGUUUCCAAAUAUGCACAAAGUUCGCAUUCUAGGGAUCAAUUCAGACUACCCCAUCUGAAUGCAUGCCUGCGGGUGAGAUCAUGUCUGGACCAACAGAUUUUUAUAGUAUUAAGCUUUCAGAGUUUGUGUCUGUAUAGUUCUCAUAAGUCAUGGUUCUCAGACGUUUGAAUUUUCUUCUGUACCAUAAAAAUUGGACUUUGAGGGAAUUUUUUCUGCAUAAUGCAGAAGCUUUUUUUACGUGUAAAUGAAAUCUGGCAAUGCAAGCCUUUUAUAUGAAACAGUUGGUUGCCUAUGUCAGGAUUUUAGGAUGGAGGCAGUAAUUUCAUUUUACUGUAGAAUUCUCCACGGUGUUUCUGAAAACAGAAGUCAGAAUUGGUUCGAAUUUCUCACUAUUUGUGAAUCUCUCUGAUGGUCAAACCAUACUUAACAGUGGUGAUAGUCCAAAGCACAGCCAAUGGGCAAAAUGGGUUUUUAAAACUCUGGCAAUGGCCAUUUGCAAAGAUGAUCUUUGUCAUAUGAUGACAUUUUCUGACGGUGGUGCGGUUGUCUUAUUUUCAUCACAGGAUAACUUUUCCACUGCAUCUUCUACUGAACUUGGCUUUGUUCUAGUGAUUUCUGUCCAAAUACAUUUCUAUCCAAUCAGGAGCAUGUAAAACUUGACAUUUAAAGGGUUGGUGUCAACUACACUGCCAUGGACAGUAAUAAUUGAUUUUCAUUUCUUAUGUUGGUAGGUAUGAAAAAAAUACAAACAGAUCAGUUCUAAAGGGUAAACAGAUAAAACAGCAUGUUGGAAACCAAUUUCAUUGUUUGCAUUUGCCUUCUCUCUGAUAACUCCUCUUCUUGAUAUUGGAGGGCUUACUGAA